RNAcentral lists this ribosomal RNA (273 nucleotides) under uncultured bacterium. Its description in RNAcentral is "partial 16S ribosomal RNA". It matches the Rfam family "Bacterial small subunit ribosomal RNA", at positions 524 to 796 of the family's 1533-position model. The record is from RNAcentral.
UACGUAGGUGGCAAGCGUUGUCCGGAAUCAUUGGGCGUAAAGCGCGCGUAGGCGGCUUGCCAGGUCCGAUGUGAAAACCCGGGGCUCAACUCCGGGCCUGCAUCGGAAACCGGCUUGCUAGAGUCUGGGAGAGGAGAGUGGAAUUCCUGGUGUAGCGGUGAAAUGCGUAGAUAUCAGGAGGAACACCGGUAGCGAAGGCGGCUCUCUGGAACAGUACUGACGCUGAGGCGCGAAAGCUAGGGGAGCGAACAGGAUUAGAUACCCCGGUAGUCC